Etheostoma spectabile (orangethroat darter) is the source of this 76-nucleotide long non-coding RNA. RefSeq lists it as uncharacterized. The record is from RefSeq and is a predicted model, not a curated record. NCBI's taxonomy places the organism in Eukaryota, Metazoa, Chordata, Actinopteri, Perciformes, Percidae. The transcript has 4 exons.
GUUAGGUGGUAGUAAAUGUACAGUGUAGGUUUCAGUUUGUCUCUGAAUAAAUGCUACAGAAAGAAAUUUCCCAUGU